This 759-nucleotide ribosomal RNA is filed under the name uncultured Neisseriaceae bacterium. RNAcentral describes it as "bacterial SSU rRNA". It matches the Rfam family "Bacterial small subunit ribosomal RNA", at positions 28 to 776 of the family's 1533-position model. Lineage: Bacteria; Pseudomonadati; Pseudomonadota; Betaproteobacteria; Neisseriales; Neisseriaceae. The record is from RNAcentral.
AUUGAACGCUGGCGGCAUGCUUUACACAUGCAAGUCGGACGGCAGCAUAAAAGAGCUUGCUCUUUUGAUGGCGAGUGGCGAACGGGUGAGUAAUGCAUCGGAACGUACCGAGUAGUGGGGGAUAACUGUCCGAAAGGAUGGCUAAUACCGCAUAUUCUCUGAGGAGGAAAGCAGGGGACCUUAGGGCCUUGCGCUAUUUGAGCGGCCGAUGUCUGAUUAGCUAGUUGGUGGGGUAAGAGCCCACCAAGGCGACGAUCAGUAGCGGGUCUGAGAGGAUGAUCCGCCACACUGGGACUGAGACACGGCCCAGACUCCUACGGGAGGCAGCAGUGGGGAAUUUUGGACAAUGGGCGCAAGCCUGAUCCAGCCAUGCCGCGUGUAUGAAGAAGGCCUUCGGGUUGUAAAGUACUUUUGUCAGGGAAGAAAAGCCUGAGGAUAACACCCUCAGGUCAUGACGGUACCUGAAGAAUAAGCACCGGCUAACUACGUGCUAGCAGCCGCGGUAAUACGUAGGGUGCGAGCGUUAAUCGGAAUUACUGGGCGUAAAGCGAGCGCAGACGGUUAUUUAAGCAAGAUGUGAAAGCCCCGGGCUCAACCUGGGAACUGCGUUUUGAACUGGGUAACUAGAGUGUGUCAGAGGGGGGUAGAAUUCCACGUGUAGCAGUGAAAUGCGUAGAGAUGUGGAGGAAUACCGAUGGCGAAGGCAGCCCCCUGGGAUAACACUGACGUUCAUGCUCGAAAGCGUGGGUAGCAAACAGG